This 253-nucleotide ribosomal RNA is filed under the name uncultured bacterium. RNAcentral describes it as "partial 16S ribosomal RNA". It matches the Rfam family "Bacterial small subunit ribosomal RNA", at positions 524 to 776 of the family's 1533-position model. The record is from RNAcentral.
UCCGAAGGGGGCUAUCGUUGUUCGGAAUUACUGGGCGUAAAGCGCGUGUAGGCGGGCCGUUAAGUCGGGGGUGAAAGCCCAGAGCUCAACUCUGGAAUUGCCUUCGAUACUGGCGGCCUGGAGCAUGAUAGAGGCGAGUGGAAUUGCGAGUGUAGAGGUGAAAUUCGUAGAUAUUCGCAGGAACACCAGUGGCGAAGGCGACUCGCUGGAUCAUUGCUGACGCUGAGACGCGAAAGCGUGGGGAGAAAACAGG